Molecule: long non-coding RNA, 2074 nt
Organism: Exaiptasia diaphana
Lineage: Eukaryota; Metazoa; Cnidaria; Anthozoa; Actiniaria; Aiptasiidae
Exons: 3
Source: RefSeq, a predicted model, not a curated record
AAUAUAUAUGCGCGCGGAAAUUUCGUUGCCUAGCAACCUUACGGACUGUAGUCCGCUGGAUGAAAAUAUCGAGCAAACUAACAUGGCGGACAAAGUUGCACGCGUUUGCCAAUAGUUGACGAUAGUUGACAAAUUCCGAGUAAAGAAUGUGUUUCUUAAAGUUUAACGUUUGUAAAAGGUUGUCUAAACGUCUGCGAAGGAAAUUCUUGUGGUGGAGUUUUAAUUGAUCUGCCUAGAGAUAUAAGCAAGUGUACCCUUUCAAACUAUUUGAUGCUUUGAUCUCAGCAAUCUUGUGCACCAUCACUAAUACUUAUGGAUAAGUUAAUUGGAGGUUGUGCAAUGUGUUUAAAGAAAAUUUCUAUGGUGAAUGGAGCGUUGUCUUCAAUGGGGCAUGAUAUUUGCCAUCUUUUGUGGAUAGAUGGGACAAUAAUAAUUAGAAAACCAUUGGCUACUAUAAGAGGGCAUGUGUGACAUGUUUAGUUUCCAUUUCUCUUCCUUCGUCCAAGCCAGGGAGAAAAGGGACUUUAUUUUACCACCCAUGACAUCCAACAUUUAGGAAAAGAAAUGCUACUAUGUCUUAAAGCCAUGAUGAUCAACAUCAAUUCUCACUUGCCCAGGCAUGAAUCAAGUCCAGUUUCUUUGUUACUUAACUGUAGCCUCAUGUAUGACACAAAGAGAAAAAAUGAAAUUUAUAAAGAAUAUGAAGAAUUGGAGGUUGUUGGCAGCCUGCGGUGUACUGAAUACAACACAUAAGGUUUUUGUGAUAUGCUAUUGCAGAGAUGUUAAAGUCACAGAGUUUAAAUUGUAGACCAGACUGUAAAGAAAACCAAAGACUGUUUAAAACUUUUAUUUACUCUAAAAGUUAAUCAGUCAUGAAUUUUAUCCCCUGAUACAUGUAACACAACAAGCUAAAAAGAUUGGGUUAAGUUCAAGGUUUAAUCUAGUAUGAAACUUUUAUUUGAACAAAACUAAAAUUACAUGAUCUAUUUGGGUAACUUCAACAAGAUAGCAUAAAUAUCUCAACAAUACAUUCUAGACCACACCCUCACCUUACAGUUCAUCAACCAGCUAAGACAAAAAUGAUGUCCAGAUGGGAAAUGUGACAGAAUGUCAUAGGUAAAAUGGCAAAGUUUCAGCUGUGUACAAUAUUAGGUAAAGUAGGUGUGGUCAUGUAACCCCUAACUGCAAAAGCACUGAUUCGUAAAAUUAAUAGCUCUUGAUGAAUCAUUGCAUUUUAUCAACCUACAAUACUAUCAAAUGAGUAAUAUUGCAUGUAUUCCAUAGAUGUUUCAUUGAUAAUAUUUAGAUGUUUGAAAUUCUUUAAAAAUGUUAGGUGCAUACAAGCUAUAACAAGCAAUAUAAGAAUUCUUUAAUACAACUGACAAAAAUGAAAGCCUCCCGCCAUCAAUUCUCUUCAUUGGUGAUAAAUAGCCAACUCUAAAAUUAGAUGUACAUUUUACAGCAUUUCAGAAUUUGUUUAACAUGCACUGUGUGAAAUAAAUCAAGUUCAGUUUUAGGCCCUGUUUACAUGAGAUAGUGUGCACCUACUUGGUAGGGCUAACUCCUUUGUUUUUUCUUUUCCCUGGAGGAUUGAAAACAAAAGAGUUUGGCUCUACCCCCUAUCUCAUGUAACCAGGGCCUUAGUAGCAGAAUAUAUUAUUAUUAGGCACUUUAAAGAAAUGCCAUGAUAAUGAUCUGAAUUGACUUUCACAACAACAACUGUCAAGUUAUCAAAAGUGUCAUUCUGCUCAAACAGAAUGCACUGAUUUGAUGGAGCAUGGCAAAAUAACCAAUUAUCUCCAGCAGGGAGUUUGUUCUUGAUAUCCUUAAGAUUAAAGCUAUAUUUGUUUUUAAAUCAUGAAAAAUAAUACAGUUUGCAUACUAGAAAGAAAAAUUCCCAUAUGCUUAAAUUUUUAAAAGAUAUCGUACUUAAAUUUUCAGAGUGGUUAUUUUGGCAUACUCAAGAUCUCUGGUACAUAAAACAUCUUGCACCAUGUACAACGACUUGACUUGGUCAAUGUGUGAUCAUGUCCUGUAAAAAAGUCCUUAAAAUACAUGUUUGUAAUUCUUUUGA